This 253-nucleotide ribosomal RNA is filed under the name uncultured bacterium. RNAcentral's name for it is "partial 16S ribosomal RNA". It matches the Rfam family "Bacterial small subunit ribosomal RNA", at positions 524 to 776 of the family's 1533-position model. The record is from RNAcentral.
UACGGGGGGAGCAAGCGUUGUUCGGAUUUACUGGGCGUAAAGGGCGCGUAGGCGGCCAGCACAAGUCAGUUGUGAAAUCUCCGAGCUUAACUCGGAACGGUCAACUGAUACUGUGCGGCUAGAGUGCGGAAGGGGCAACUGGAAUUCUUGGUGUAGCGGUGGAAUGCGCAGAUAUCAGGAGGAACACCGAUGGCGAAGGCAGGUCUCUGGGCAGUUACUGACGUGAGGAGCGAAAGCAUGGGGAGCGAACAGG